Molecule: ribosomal RNA, 253 nt
Filed under: uncultured bacterium
Lineage: Bacteria
Description: partial 16S ribosomal RNA
Rfam family: Bacterial small subunit ribosomal RNA
Source: RNAcentral
UACGGGGGGGGCAAGCGUUGUUCGGAAUUACUGGGCGUAAAGCGCACGCAGGUGGCUGCGUAAGUCGAUUGUGAAAGCCCUGGGCUUAACCUGGGAAUUGCAUUCGAUACUGCUCAGCUAGAGUAUGGGAGAGGGUAGUGGAAUUCCCGGUGUAGCGGUGAAAUGCGUAGAUAUCGGGAGGAACAUCAGUGGCGAAGGCGGCUACCUGGCCCAAUACUGACACUCAGGUGCGACAGCGUGGGGAGCAAACAGG